RNAcentral lists this ribosomal RNA (568 nucleotides) under Papiliotrema laurentii. Its description in RNAcentral is "eukaryotic LSU rRNA". It matches the Rfam family "Eukaryotic large subunit ribosomal RNA", at positions 100 to 657 of the family's 3401-position model. Lineage: Eukaryota; Fungi; Basidiomycota; Tremellomycetes; Tremellales; Rhynchogastremaceae. The record is from RNAcentral.
GGGAAGAGCUCAAAUUUGAAAUCUGGCGUCCUCAGGGCGUCCGAGUUGUAAUCUAUAGAGGCGUUUUCCGUGCCGGACCGUGUCCAAGUUCCUUGGAACAGGAUAUCAAAGAGGGUGACAAUCCCGUACUUGACACGACGACCGGUGCUCUGUGAUACGUCUUCUACGAGUCGAGUUGUUUGGGAAUGCAGCUCAAAAUGGGUGGUGAGUUCCAUCUAAAGCUAAAUAUUGGCGAGAGACCGAUAGCGAACAAGUACCGUGAGGGAAAGAUGAAAAGCACUUUGGAAAGAGAGUUAAACAGUACGUGAAAUUGUUGAAAGGGAAACGAUUGAAGUCAGUCGUGACCGAGAGGCUCAGCCGGUUCUGCCGGUGUAUUCCCCUCGGUCGGGUCAACAUCAGUUUUGUCCGGUGGAUAAGGGCGGUAGGAAGGUGGCACCCUCGGGUGUGUUAUAGCCUGCCGUCGCAUACAUCGGGUGAGACUGAGGAACGCAGCUCGCCUUUAUGGCCGGGGUUCGCCCACGUCCGAGCUUAGGAUGUUGACAUAAUGGCUUUAAACGACCCGUCUUGA